Molecule: ribosomal RNA, 1382 nt
Filed under: Lactiplantibacillus plantarum
Lineage: Bacteria; Bacillati; Bacillota; Bacilli; Lactobacillales; Lactobacillaceae
Also listed under: 1 other name
Description: Lactobacillus plantarum 16S ribosomal RNA
Rfam family: Bacterial small subunit ribosomal RNA
Source: RNAcentral
GAGUGGCGAACUGGUGAGUAACACGUGGGAAACCUGCCCAGAAGCGGGGGAUAACACCUGGAAACAGAUGCUAAUACCGCAUAACAACUUGGACCGCAUGGUCCGAGUUUGAAAGAUGGCUUCGGCUAUCACUUUUGGAUGGUCCCGCGGCGUAUUAGCUAGAUGGUGGGGUAACGGCUCACCAUGGCAAUGAUACGUAGCCGACCUGAGAGGGUAAUCGGCCACAUUGGGACUGAGACACGGCCCAAACUCCUACGGGAGGCAGCAGUAGGGAAUCUUCCACAAUGGACGAAAGUCUGAUGGAGCAACGCCGCGUGAGUGAAGAAGGGUUUCGGCUCGUAAAACUCUGUUGUUAAAGAAGAACAUAUCUGAGAGUAACUGUUCAGGUAUUGACGGUAUUUAACCAGAAAGCCACGGCUAACUACGUGCCAGCAGCCGCGGUAAUACGUAGGUGGCAAGCGUUGUCCGGAUUUAUUGGGCGUAAAGCGAGCGCAGGCGGUUUUUUAAGUCUGAUGUGAAAGCCUUCGGCUCAACCGAAGAAGUGCAUCGGAAACUGGGAAACUUGAGUGCAGAAGAGGACAGUGGAACUCCAUGUGUAGCGGUGAAAUGCGUAGAUAUAUGGAAGAACACCAGUGGCGAAGGCGGCUGUCUGGUCUGUAACUGACGCUGAGGCUCGAAAGUAUGGGUAGCAAACAGGAUUAGAUACCCUGGUAGUCCAUACCGUAAACGAUGAAUGCUAAGUGUUGGAGGGUUUCCGCCCUUCAGUGCUGCAGCUAACGCAUUAAGCAUUCCGCCUGGGGAGUACGGCCGCAAGGCUGAAACUCAAAGGAAUUGACGGGGGCCCGCACAAGCGGUGGAGCAUGUGGUUUAAUUCGAAGCUACGCGAAGAACCUUACCAGGUCUUGACAUACUAUGCAAAUCUAAGAGAUUAGACGUUCCCUUCGGGGACAUGGAUACAGGUGGUGCAUGGUUGUCGUCAGCUCGUGUCGUGAGAUGUUGGGUUAAGUCCCGCAACGAGCGCAACCCUUAUUAUCAGUUGCCAGCAUUAAGUUGGGCACUCUGGUGAGACUGCCGGUGACAAACCGGAGGAAGGUGGGGAUGACGUCAAAUCAUCAUGCCCCUUAUGACCUGGGCUACACACGUGCUACAAUGGAUGGUACAACGAGUUGCGAACUCGCGAGAGUAAGCUAAUCUCUUAAAGCCAUUCUCAGUUCGGAUUGUAGGCUGCAACUCGCCUACAUGAAGUCGGAAUCGCUAGUAAUCGCGGAUCAGCAUGCCGCGGUGAAUACGUUCCCGGGCCUUGUACACACCGCCCGUCACACCAUGAGAGUUUGUAACACCCAAAGUCGGUGGGGUAACCUUUUAGGAACCAGCCGCCUAAG